UUCAUAAGACUUUCUCCAUGAUCUCUGGAGACACAAAACUGAUGCUGAAUCUAGAUGUUCAGUACAAUCUGUGUCCAACACUGAGUCAUAGCACUCACUCAUUCAAUAAUCCACUCUUCCCUAAAAUAUCUUCAGAGUCAGAAUCAACACUGCAGUUUGUCCUCAGUACACAAUAUUAUCUGAACAGUUCUGAACUGUUACUCAGAUUCCUGUAGCUACUUAUCUAAGUCCAGAUGAUCUACUGAACUCUAUGGUGCUGUCUGUCUCUACAGUUUAACCCACACUGACUCAUCAUACAUCACGCAUGGAGAAACACACUCAGGAUACACCUGCUGGUCCUCACGCUGCCAGUUUAACUUUAUGUAAAUGAUGAUGUUCUUCUGGGAAAUGUAGAGGGAGAUGUUCUGCAUGUCACUGAUUUAUUUCAUCUACAGAAAUCGUAUCAGAAACGACUUUGAGAUCAGCUGAUUAAAAAGAGUCUUUGUAAGAAAAGGAUGUGUAUCAGAGUGUUGAUGGUGUUAAUAAUGACAGGAAGCACGUCCCUGCAGUCUCUCCUUUAUCUGCUCCUCACGCUGAUCAUCUCUUCACUCAGCACCAGAGUCCUAUCACACACGGACACCAUGCUGCCAGCGCUCUGCUCUCUCUUCACUGCUCUCUCAUGUGUCAGUGGUGUGACUGUGGUGACGCAGAAGCCUCCUGUUCUCACACUGACUCAGGGACAGACGGCCACCAUGGACUGUAAUCUGGGGACUGUUACUAAUUAUGAGGCAGGCUUUUAUAAACAGGUUCCAGGAGGAGUUCCUCAGUAUGUCAUUAGGAAUUAUCAUGGCUGGAGCUCUCCUCAAUAUGGGUCUGGUUUCUCGUCUUCUAAAUUCACAUCAUCACACUCCUCUCAAUCAGAUUAUAAAUUAAUAAUCAGUAAUGUAGAGGUGGGAGAUUCAGCAGUGUAUUACUGUGGCACAUGGGACAGCUCUGCUAAAGAGUACGUAUCACAGUGAUGUUCACCAUGACAAAAACCUCCUCACUGCUCACACUCACUUCUGCUUUCACACAACACGAGAAA
Silurus meridionalis is the source of this 1063-nucleotide non-coding RNA. NCBI's taxonomy places the organism in Eukaryota, Metazoa, Chordata, Actinopteri, Siluriformes, Siluridae. The record is from the annotation of a RefSeq genome assembly.